Molecule: unclassified non-coding RNA, 220 nt
Filed under: rhizosphere metagenome
Description: partial ribosomal RNA internal transcribed spacer region
Source: RNAcentral
GUAGGUGAACCUGCGGAAGGAUCAUUAACGAGUAUUGGGCCUAACGGUCCGACUCCCACCCAUUGUGUAUUUACCUGUUGCUUCGGCAGGACGUUUCUUUCGAGGAACCGUCGGCUUUAUUGCGGGUGUGUUCCUGCCGAAGGAUAUAAAACUCUUUUUUACAUGAAGUCUGAGUAUUAUUAAAAAAUCAAAACUUUCAACAACGGAUCUCUUGGUUCUG